Molecule: long non-coding RNA, 1423 nt
Filed under: Homo sapiens (human)
Lineage: Eukaryota; Metazoa; Chordata; Mammalia; Primates; Hominidae
Description: HSALNT0397831
Source: RNAcentral
AAGAUCGCACCAUUGCACUCCAGCCUGGUUAACAAAAGCAAAACUCUGUCUCAAAAAAAGAAAAAAAGAGAAAGGGUGGAAAAGAGGGAUUCCAGAGUGCCAGGCACACAGAUUUUCUGGAAGGUUUACAUGAGGACUGCUGUGGUUUGAAUGUGUUCCCCAAAGUUCAUGUGUUGGAAACUCAACCCCUAAUGCAACAGUGUUGAUCAGUGGAACCUUUAAGAGGUGAUUAGGUCAUGAAGGCUCUGCCCUCAUGAAUGGAUGAAGGUAGGGUGGGUUAGUUAUCUUGGGAGGGGGUUCCUGAUAAAAGGAUGAGGUUGGCUUCCUCCCUUUCUGUCUUUCCCCUUCUCCCUCUCACAUGUGGUCACUCUCUUGCCCUUUUACCUUCCAGCAUAGGACAACACAGCGAGACCUUCACCAGAUGCAGGCCCCUCACUUUCCCAGUGUUCAGAACCAUAAACCAAGUGAACCCUUAUAAAUCACCCAGUCUGUGGUAUUCUGUUAUAGCAACACAAACAGACUAAGACAGGGACACUCAGUGAGCUCUUCUCUCUACUUGAUGGAGCACUCCCUGCGUGGUGCCUUGUAUUUGUAGACAUGAUGCUGUAAAUGCUCUUUGAGUGUCUCGAAGGCUUUUAUGUUUGAGGAGUUUACAGAGAAGCCCGUACAGGGUUCAGGUCCAUUCUGUUGCUUCUUUGCUCCUUAGUUCCUCCCCUAAUCUGAUGUUAAAUUAGAUCAUAGUGUGGUCCUUGGACCAAUAGUAUCAGUAGCACCUGAAAAUCAUGCUGGAAAUACAGAUUCACAGGCUGCUCCCCAGAAUACUGAAGAAGAAACUCUAGGAGUGAGACCCAACAAUCUGUGUUUAACAAGUCCCCAGGCCCCUGGAUCCUCCUGGAAUCCCUGAUCCCUGUUGCUCCCUUGCGGAGUUUUCUAGUCCCUCUUAUUUGAAGCAUGUCUUUCAGAGCCUCGCACCACCCAGCUUGGGUAUCUGGUGAAUUCUGUGGUCUGCAUGUCCAUGUUUUUGACAUUCUGGGAAGGGUGGCCCAGGCUGUGAUUUGCCAUCUACUGCUGCAGGCUAUGGAUGGUAUUCAGAAGGGAGGGGAGAUGCUGUGUGCGUGUUCUGAAGGGUUUCCCACUAAAUGGAGAGACUGACUCUCUCCAUAAGUAUUUGAUUUUUACUUUAUCUCCUCGUUGACUUCACAGUGUAAGUGCAGUUUGUCUCUACUGGGUGAUGCAUGCAGAUAAAUGUUUAUGUGAACAUAAGAAGUCUGCAUGUGUGGGUGAACUCUCCACAUCAUGUCAUUUAUUGUCCAUCAUUACGUAUCUGUGGUGUCUAGCACAUUCCUCUACCUUAUUUUCUGUCAUUGUACCUACUUCUACCUGAACACGUAUUAAAUAUCUUAUUAAAAAUACACAAAUAUUA